This 569-nucleotide small RNA is filed under the name Oryza sativa Japonica Group (Japanese rice). RNAcentral describes it as "misc RNA P0702F03.25". Lineage: Eukaryota; Viridiplantae; Streptophyta; Magnoliopsida; Poales; Poaceae. The record is from RNAcentral.
CGUGCUUUUUGUUUUUUGUUUUUUUGUUUUUUGCCUAUUCCUCCCAACAAAGAUCAUCCAAACUAAACCCAUUGUAGUAUAAACCCUCGUCAUCGACCCAGCCUAUCCUGAUGGAUGAAGAAGUCCUUGAGUUCUUGCAGCACCGAUUUCUGGCUAAUUGUUGUGUAGAGUCGGCUUUUCGACCUCCGAAAUGGUAUAUGUUCUUUGCAAACUCACCAUGUAAGAAUUGAUGUUUCAGGCUGAUGGAUGGACAAGGCACAUACCAUCCAAAGCUGCAUGGAAUGUCUUGUGACUCAGACGUUUUAGCUGCAAUCGAAUACGUCCGGUUAUGCUGCUGGAGAAAGGUCAUUCUCAUUGCCAGAUUAUCAGCUUCUGUAGUCAGAGAUUUUGGCAUGCAGUGCAACAACUUGAGAUAGAACAACGUUAAGUAUGAAGGGCCUAUUUGUCUUGAGCUCAAAUGCUAUGCUAAAUAUGAUAUUUUUUACAUGCAACAACUUGAGAUUAUCUUGAUGUAGAACAUGAACAACCUUGAUGAUACCUUUGAGCUAAAAUGCUACUGAUACUCUGGU